This 468-nucleotide ribosomal RNA is filed under the name uncultured bacterium. RNAcentral describes it as "bacterial SSU rRNA". It matches the Rfam family "Bacterial small subunit ribosomal RNA", at positions 335 to 795 of the family's 1533-position model. The record is from RNAcentral.
ACUCCUACGGGAGGCAGCAGCUAACAAUAUUCCGCAAUGGACGAAAGUCUGACGGAGCGACGCCGCGUGGAUGAAGAAGGCCGAAAGGUUGUAAAGUUCUUUUGCUAGGGGAGAAUAAGUGAGGGAGGGAAUGCCCUCAUGAUGACAAGGACUAGCGAAUAAGCCCCGGCCAACUACGUGCCAGCAGCCGCGGUAACACGUAGGGGGCGAGCGUUGUUCGGAAUUACUGGGCGUAAAGGGCAUGUAGGCGGCUUGGUAAGCCUGGCGUGAAAGACUGCAGCUUAACUGUAGGGAUGCGUUGGGAACUGCUUAGCUUGAGUUACGGAGAGGGAGCUGGAAUUCCUGGUGUAGGGGUGAAAUCUGUAGAUAUCAGGAAGAACACCGAUGGCGAAGGCAAGCUUCUGGUCGAUAACUGACGCUGAGGUGCGAAAGUGUGGGGAUCAAACAGGAUUAGAUACCCUGGUAGUC